UGAAUAUCCAUUCUAUUCUAAAAUAUACAAAAUAUAUUAACCUACAAAGGAGCCCACAUAUUCUGACACAUUCCUCUUAAGACAAAUGAGAGAAUACUUCGGUGAUUGCAGGUUAUCUAGUAAACAUAGAAAUCUGGAUGCACUGACACAAUAUACUGACUGUGGCCAAUAUCUUCAAAUGUGUCCAUCUACUCUAAUGGAACAUGAUUAGCUAUUUUUGAAUGUAUUAUUAUCACGACCACAAAGGACAUUUACAAAGGAGCCAUCUGUUCUCUGUUAAAUGUAGCCCUGACGUCUCCCUUGGAUUAGCAAAGGAAGCCACUAAAUACUUCAGUGGGACUUCAAAAAAACUGAGUUCUCCCUAAGAAUCACUAGGGGAUGAACUUCAAAAGAUUAGAGGUUUCAUUUGGAUCAAGUCCCAGAAAAUCAGGUUAUUUACCAAAUCUUAUUUAUGCAAACUAUACAAACACAUUUUGAUCUGCGGAAUACCAAAAUAAUGUUUUAGAAAAAUGAUAACCUUAAGUGAAAAGUCCACUGUGGAAAAGAAAGAGGAAGGUCAACUUUCUUUGGUUUGAUUAUCUGUCUACAUUAUCAAAUCAGCUGUACAACUAUUACCAGACUUGCUGUCACUUUAUGGUUAUAAAUACAGAAAGAAGUUACCUAAAAAUUUUAUUGAUUAUGUUGAGUAAAAAGAUUAGGGUGUCUUAAACACACACACACACACACACACACACACACACACAGUAUUUUAGCUUCUCCAUGUCUGUUUGGAUUACAAGAUGGUGGAGACUACUAGAAUAUUUUUAGAUAUCGACAAUUUUUGACAUUUUGUCAUCUACAAGGAUUUCUAUUAUAACUUUGGGUUCAUAAGCUCUUUAUAUCAAUUCAUCUGAAUAGAGAAUUCAGAAUAAGACAGAUCUAUCUUGGCACUGUCCAACAUAGGUGGCUGGUAUUGCUCGAGUGCUAAUCACAUUUUGUAUUUAUCUUCUUUACAGAAUAUAUUAGUCAUUUAUUUACAUGUAUCUUUUCUCUUACUACAUUAUUAUUACUCCAAGAACAUGGACUUUCAUAUUCAUCUAUGCAUUUCUACUACCACACAUAAGACUAACAUAAAAUAGAUACCUGGAAUAUAUCUGUUGUUACAUAAAUAAUAAGCAAUUGCUUGAAAAUCAGAUAAACUUCAUCUAUAACAUGAUUUGCAAUUAUGUAGGUUUUAUUAAAAAGGAGCAUAUAUAUCAAAAGUUCUCAAUGAAAUAACAAGUAUCAAUGUCAAAUAUCAUAUAAAAUGCCUCACCUGAGAAUAUUUAUUAUUAUUUGUCAAUUCAAGACACUAUACAUGUCUUUUUGCUUCUAAUUAAGACCUUGAACUUAAAUUUAGAACAUACAGAGUUUUAUGAACUUUUAAAGUUUUUUUUUCUCAGCAAUUCGGGUAGGUUGAUUGUAUUGGAUUCUGUUACUUAUAACUGGAAACAGUUCCCUGAUUUGAACAUAGCUGUCCAGUGAUUUUUCAAUUGGGUAAACAUUUGUGGCUUAUGUUCCUAAGACUGAUCAGGAGAGAAUGCAUGAGGGGAGACUGAUACAUUGUACAGUUACCAGUGUUUACACUGUUUUGUGUUUUCCAGAUCCAUGUGGUACUUCUUAAAAGGAUAUACAUCUGGGACUGCAAAAGCUCUUCAGCUGCUGGCAGCAUCCGAAUAACAGUUCAUUUAGUAUAUAUCUGAGCAUUUCUGAAUAUUUAAAUCAAAACUGUGACUAAAUUUGAGCCAAUUGGAUUCCUUUCAUAAUUUAAAAAUAUUAUCUAGCCAUCCACAUAAGAAAAAAAAGCCCACAAAAAUAAUUUGUAAAAUUUCCAGCCUGUUCAUAAACUUAAGAGAAUGUGGGCCAAGUCACAAUACUGGAUAUGGUGGAGACUUAAAACCAGACAACUAUCUUCUUUGCGUACAGUAUUACCAAAUAAUUGGCUUGAAAAUGUUACCUAACUAAACAAAUUAACUGAAUCAAGCAGUUGUUUUUGGCUGGAGUAACAUUCGGUAAACAGAAUAUCCAGAGCCUCUUCUUUAAGCACCACUAGCAGGCACUGUGAGAGCAUUUUCAUUCCAGUUUGUUCGACUUGGGUAAACCGGGAACAGAGGCUUACAUCAACGGAGGAUCAGUGAACACAAUCUCAUAGCAACAGACACCAAAACAGUCCCUCAUUACAAGCCUUGUCCAACAAUCAAGUCUUUAACGAGAACAAAGGUUGACAGUGAUUAAUCAUUAAGCAGUUCCUUGUUCCUUGAUGCACGUGUUCUCAGCAGCCUCCUGCAGAGGCAGUCUGGCAUAUUUCCUGUCCCUGUGCUCCACUGUGCCAUGUCUGAAGGGACACCCAGGCAGCCUUCUCACUAUUUUAAUUUCAAAUGCUACAAACAUCUACAGAGUUUCUAUGUGCACGUGUCUUGACUUUUAUUCUGAGCCUGGCAGACUCUGAAUGGAUAUAGGGAGUGAGAACAUAAUAAGCCGUUAACUCCGCAUCUGCUUACUAGAUUAUGUUCAAAGACCGUAUAAGAAAUUGAUUAAACACUGUUUUCUAGAAUAAA
Molecule: long non-coding RNA, 2576 nt
Organism: Canis lupus familiaris (dog)
Lineage: Eukaryota; Metazoa; Chordata; Mammalia; Carnivora; Canidae
Exons: 2
Source: RefSeq, a predicted model, not a curated record